GUAUAUUACAAAUAAUUAUAAUAUAUAUAAUUAUAAAUAUAAUUAUAUAUAAUUUCUUAUUAGUAUGAUUUUUGUCUUUAUUUUUUUUUAAUCUUUCUUAUAAUUUAUUUUUAUAUUUUUAUUACAGCAAUAGUUGUUUAUUUUUUAGUUAUUUUUUUAUAUAAUUUUUUGACUCUUUUUUUUUACUAUUAUUUAUUUUAUUUAUAUAUUUAUUUCUACGGAAUCAUUCCGCCGCAACGCACGGGUCCUUCACUAGUAGAUCAAUAUAAGAUGAUUGGGUUUGGAUUUUGUUUUGACCAAAGACCUUGGCUUGUAAACAUAGUUAGUUAAUUCGGAUUCGGCAAAAAUUCGGUACGUAUAUAAUACAUAUAAAAUUCGUUGUCUAAUUUUUAAAUUCGUUGAAAAAUUCAGCUUAAAAAAUGGAUUCGGUAUAAAAUAUAAAAUAUAAAAUAAUUUAUAUUUAAAAAUAAAAUUAUAAGUUUUUUUUAUAUUUUCAAUAAUUCGGCAAUAAUUUGCGAAUAGUUCGGCUGGCCCAAAAAUUCGCGAAUAAUUCUCUUUCUUCUGGAAAAAUUCGUAAACGGACUGUUUAAUUUGGAUUUUCAAUAAUUCGCGAAUUUACUAACUAGGCUUGUAAAAUGGUACAUUGGUAUGAGCCUAAGCCUGGUCCAAAAAUUAUCUGAGAUUUUGGG
RNAcentral lists this long non-coding RNA (689 nucleotides) under Ananas comosus (pineapple). RNAcentral describes it as "long non-coding RNA (ACOM_LNC026687)". Lineage: Eukaryota; Viridiplantae; Streptophyta; Magnoliopsida; Poales; Bromeliaceae. The record is from RNAcentral.